This 193-nucleotide non-coding RNA is filed under the name Peribacillus cavernae. RNAcentral describes it as "6S / SsrS RNA". It matches the Rfam family "6S / SsrS RNA". Rfam says of the family: E. coli 6S RNA was the first non coding RNA to be sequenced, but its function was unknown until recently. It consists of 184 nucleotides that fold into an extended hairpin structure with a large single-stranded internal bulge. The 6S RNA specifically associates with RNA polymerase holoenzyme containing the sigma70 specificity factor. Lineage: Bacteria; Bacillati; Bacillota; Bacilli; Caryophanales; Bacillaceae. The record is from Rfam by way of RNAcentral.
UAUAAGCUGCGUUGUACGUAAUGCAUAAUUAAGUUUUAACCUUUAAACUGUAAUAGGGAGUUUUAUAUUGAAACCGGAAUGGCGGGCCUUUAUCACUGAUAGAGGAUAUACAGGAUCGUUUCUGCAAACACCCACUUUGAGGAGUGGUGGUUUAAAACUUUCUUAACGAAGCUACGGCAAGCGCGGCUUACAU